This 510-nucleotide ribosomal RNA is filed under the name uncultured bacterium. RNAcentral describes it as "partial 16S ribosomal RNA". It matches the Rfam family "Bacterial small subunit ribosomal RNA", at positions 28 to 507 of the family's 1533-position model. The record is from RNAcentral.
GACGAACGCUGGCGGCGUGCUUAACACAUGCAAGUCGAACGAAGAGCGAUGGAAGCUUGCUUCUAUCAAUCUUAGUGGCGAACGGGUGAGUAACGCGUAAUCAACCUGCCCUUCAGAGGGGGACAACAGUUGGAAACGACUGCUAAUACCGCAUACGAUCUAAUCUCGGCAUCGAGGAUAGAUGAAAGGUGGCCUCUACAUGUAAGCUAUCACUGAAGGAGGGGAUUGCGUCUGAUUAGCUAGUUGGAGGGGUAACGGCCCACCAAGGCGAUGAUCAGUAGCCGGUCUGAGAGGAUGAACGGCCACAUUGGGACUGAGACACGGCCCAGACUCCUACGGGAGGCAGCAGUGGGGAAUCUUCCGCAAUGGACGAAAGUCUGACGGAGCAACGCCGCGUGAGUGAUGACGGCCUUCGGGUUGUAAAGCUCUGUUAAUCGGGACGAAAGGCCUUCUUGCGAAUAGGGAGAAGGAUUGACGGUACCGGAAUAGAAAGCCAUGGCUAACUACGUG